GGCUGGUCCAAAGGUAGUGAGUUAUCUCAAUUGAUGUUCACCGUCAGUUUCCUUGUUCUAUUCUUUCCCCAAUUCUCACCACUGCACUUGACUAGUCUAAA
Molecule: Y RNA, 101 nt
Filed under: Propithecus coquereli (Coquerel's sifaka)
Lineage: Eukaryota; Metazoa; Chordata; Mammalia; Primates; Indriidae
Description: Y RNA (ENSPCOG00000004455.1)
Rfam family: Y RNA
About the family: Y RNAs are components of the Ro ribonucleoprotein particle (Ro RNP), in association with Ro60 and La proteins. The Y RNAs and Ro60 and La proteins are well conserved, but the function of the Ro RNP is not known.
Source: Rfam by way of RNAcentral